Neogale vison (American mink) is the source of this 187-nucleotide long non-coding RNA. RefSeq lists it as uncharacterized. The transcript is spliced from 3 exons. NCBI's taxonomy places the organism in Eukaryota, Metazoa, Chordata, Mammalia, Carnivora, Mustelidae. The record is from RefSeq and is a predicted model, not a curated record.
AAGGAGCAACAGAAGCAAAAAACAUCAGAAAAUGAAAGGUUUCAGAGAAUUUCUGAAAAAUCUGGAAGAGGUUCAGGACCUGUUCUCCCUUCUGGAAAGCCACCUGGAGAGGCUCUCUGACCAGGGGGGCUUUCACCAGUUCUUACGUCAAGCAGCCCCUGGGCAGGUGCGCCGAGGGGUGCCAGCU